GGAGGGAUAGCUCAGUAGGCAGAGCACACGACGGUAACCAAUCCGGCUGUUUCGUCCCCGGUUCGAGUCCGGGUCCCUCCACAA
Molecule: transfer RNA, 84 nt
Filed under: Muribaculum intestinale
Lineage: Bacteria; Pseudomonadati; Bacteroidota; Bacteroidia; Bacteroidales; Muribaculaceae
Description: tRNA-OTHER
Rfam family: tRNA
About the family: Transfer RNA (tRNA) molecules are approximately 80 nucleotides in length. Their secondary structure includes four short double-helical elements and three loops (D, anti-codon, and T loops).
Source: RNAcentral